CCUACGGGGGGCACCAGUGGGGAAUAUUGGACAAUGGGCGAAAGCCUGAUCCAGCAAUGCCGCGUGUGUGAAGAAGGUCUUCAGAUUGUAAAGCACUUUCGACGGGGACGAUGAUGACGGUACCCGUAGAAGAAGCCCCGGCUAACUUCGUGCCAGCAGCCGCGGUAAUACGAAGGGGGCUAGCGUGGCUCGGAAUGACUGGGCGUAAAGGGCACGUAGGCGGUUUAUGCAGUCAGAUGUGAAAUCCCCGGGCUUAACCUGGGAACUGCAUUUGAGACGCAUAGACUAGAGGUCGAGAGAGGGUUGUGGAAUUCCCAGUGUAGAGGUGAAAUUCGUAGAUAUUGGGAAGAACACCGGUGGCGAAGGCGGCAACCUGGCUCGAUACUGACGCUGAGGCGCGAAAGCGUGGGGGGCAAACAGGAUUAGAUACCCGAGUAGUC
This 440-nucleotide ribosomal RNA is filed under the name uncultured bacterium. RNAcentral's name for it is "bacterial SSU rRNA". It matches the Rfam family "Bacterial small subunit ribosomal RNA", at positions 338 to 795 of the family's 1533-position model. The record is from RNAcentral.